UGAGUGGACCAGGUGUGUGUGAGUUUCUACCUGUGGACCAGGUGUGUGUGUUUCUACCUGUGGACCAGGUGUGUGCGUUUCUACCUGUGGACCAGGCGUGUGCGUUUCUACCUGUGGACCAGGUGUGUGCGUUUCUACCUGUGGACCAGGUGUGUGCGUUUCUACCUGUGGACCAGGUUGAGUGGACCAGGUGUGUGUGAGUUUCUACCUGUGGACCAGGUGUGUGCGUUUCUACCUGUGGACCAGGUG
This is a long non-coding RNA of Melanotaenia boesemani (Boeseman's rainbowfish), 249 nucleotides long. RefSeq lists it as uncharacterized. The transcript is spliced from 3 exons. NCBI's taxonomy places the organism in Eukaryota, Metazoa, Chordata, Actinopteri, Atheriniformes, Melanotaeniidae. The record is from RefSeq and is a predicted model, not a curated record.